This 471-nucleotide ribosomal RNA is filed under the name uncultured bacterium. RNAcentral describes it as "bacterial SSU rRNA". It matches the Rfam family "Bacterial small subunit ribosomal RNA", at positions 355 to 825 of the family's 1533-position model. The record is from RNAcentral.
UCGAGGAUCUUUAGCAAUGCCCGAAAGGGUGACUAUGCGACGCCGCGUGCAGGAUGAAGGCCUUCGGGUCGUAAACUGCUGUCAGGGGGGAAGAAACCUUACGUGUUAACAGCGCGUAAGCUGACAUCACUCCCAAAGGAAGCCACGGCUAACUCUGUGCCAGCAGCCGCGGUAAGACAGAGGUGGCAAGCGUUGUUCGGAUUUAUUGGGUGUAAAGGGUCCGUAGGUGGUCUAACAAGUCUGAUGUGAAAUCCCAUGGCUCAACCGUGGAACUGCAUUGGAAACUGUUGGACUUGAGUACCGCAGAGGUAAAGGGAAUUCCUGGUGUAAGGGUGAAAUCUGUAGAUAUCGGGAGGAACACCAGUGGCGAAGGCGCUUUACUGGGCGGUUACUGACACUGAGGGACGAAAGCAAGGGGAGCAAACAGGAUUAGAUACCCUGGUAGUCCCUGAGCGGGCUGGCAAGGCGCAU